UUCAAAAUGAAGAUUUCUUUCUCAUCAUGUUCUUGUCUUUGUCCUUUAUUCCCUCUGAGAGGUCUUCGAGUUGAGCCCAUUUUUCUCUUUUGAAUAACUGGACUUGAUUUUGAGUGUGCCUCUUCUGCGUGAGAAUCUUCAGGAAUGAGGUUGAUGUCACUUUGUUUAAGAACUGUGUCUGUUUCUCCUGAAACAUCUUUCUCAACAUUUUCAGAUAUUUUCAAUGCUUCGAUGUGUACAUCAGGAGAAGUAUGAAGAAAAUCUGACUCCGUAGUCAAAUUACUCUCCACUGUACCUGUAUCUCCAGUAAUUUCAACUUCUCUGACUAAUGUCACACUAACAUCAUUGAUUUUCUCCUCUGUUCCUUCAGCUUCAUAAGAUGUUGUGUCAGAUAUUUUGUUCUGUGAUUCAGUUUCUAAUUGUAGGUCCUUGUUUUCCUCUGCUGCCACUUUUUCAGCAUCUCCAGCAUUUUCCUGGGACUCUUCAUUCAGUUUCAUGAGGGUUUGUGAUUCUGUGACAUGACAGAUACUUACUGCAGUGGAUUCCUCAGACAGGAAAUCUGAACGACAUGAUGACUGCAGGAGAGCAGACUCAGAUCUUUCAACAGGACCAACAUCAUUGUCCUCACAUAAUUCCAUGUCCUGUACUUUAACUCCAUCUUUUGUGGUUCUUAACAGAGAUGCAUUUGUAAUGGAUUCAUCCUCCAAACUAAUUGUUUCUUUCUCUACAUUGAUCAUAUCUUCACUGUCAGGUGUCUCAUUUUCAUCAUGAUGUUCUUUUUCUUUUCUUUGUCUAUUUUUCCCUCUGAGAGGUCUACGAGUUGAGCCCAUUUUCCUCUUGUGAAUAACUGUGAAUUCUGAGUGUGCCUCCUCUUUCUGAGUAUCGUGAGGAAUGAUGGUGGUGUCACUUUGCUUGGGAACUGUGUCAGUUUUUUCCUGAACUUUACACUCAGCAUCGUUAGACACUUUUAAUGCUUCCAGUUUUGCAUCAGAGGAAGUGUCAUUUUGAA
Long non-coding RNA from Carassius gibelio (silver crucian carp), 1009 nucleotides. RefSeq lists it as uncharacterized. NCBI's taxonomy places the organism in Eukaryota, Metazoa, Chordata, Actinopteri, Cypriniformes, Cyprinidae. The transcript has 6 exons. The record is from RefSeq and is a predicted model, not a curated record.